AUGGAGAUGUGGAAAUAUCGGGUCGUAGGAUCGGUGGCUGCCCUGCUCUUGCUACUCGCCGUCGUCGUGCCGUUUACUCAGACCCAGACGCAGAGCGCACGGGACAAGGCUGCCAUGGCGGAAGACGCAGGGCCGUUGGUGGGAGGCAUCAAGGACUCGCCGAUGGGGCAAGAGAACGACCUCGACGUCAUCGCGCUCGCCCGCUUCGCCGUCUCCGAGCACAACAACAAGGCCAAUGCCCUGCUGGAGUUCGAGAACGUGGUGAAGCUGAAGAAGCAAAUUGUUGCUGGCACGAUGCACUUCAUUACAAUUCGGGUCACUGAAGGUGGGGCCAAGAAGCUCUAUGAAGCUAAGGUGUGGGAGAAACCAUGGGAGAACUUUAAGAAGCUCGAGGAGUUCAAGCCGGUGGAGGACGCUGCAAUCGCAUAA
This 429-nucleotide ribosomal RNA is filed under the name Triticum aestivum (bread wheat). Its description in RNAcentral is "partial small subunit ribosomal RNA". Lineage: Eukaryota; Viridiplantae; Streptophyta; Magnoliopsida; Poales; Poaceae. The record is from RNAcentral.